This 253-nucleotide ribosomal RNA is filed under the name uncultured bacterium. RNAcentral's name for it is "partial 16S ribosomal RNA". It matches the Rfam family "Archaeal small subunit ribosomal RNA", at positions 474 to 727 of the family's 1478-position model. The record is from RNAcentral.
UACCAGCACCCCGAGUGGUCGGGACGAUUAUUGGGCCUAAAGCAUCCGUAGCCGGUUCUGCAAGUCCCCCGUUAAAUCCAGCUGCUCAACAGAUGGGCCGCGGAGGAUACUACAGAGCUAGGAGGCAGGAGAGGCAAGCGGUACUCAGUGGGUAGGGGUAAAAUCCGUUGAUCCAUUGAAGACCACCAGUGGCGAAGGCGGCUUGCCAGAAUGCGCUCGAUGGUGAGGGAUGAAAGCUGGGGGAGCAAACCGG